Molecule: ribosomal RNA, 924 nt
Filed under: uncultured Bacteroidota bacterium
Lineage: Bacteria; Pseudomonadati; Bacteroidota
Description: bacterial SSU rRNA
Rfam family: Bacterial small subunit ribosomal RNA
Source: RNAcentral
GGAUCCAGACUUUGAUUCUGGCUCAGGAUGAACGCUAGCUACAGGCUUAACACAUGCAAGUCGAGGGGCAGCGGUAUCGGAAGCUUGCUUUCGGUAGCCGGCGACCGGCGCACGGGUGAGUAACGCGUAUCGAACCUGCCUCAUACUCGGGAAUAGCCUUGCGAAAGUAAGAUUAAUGCCCGGUGUUUUCAGAGUCCCGCAUGAGGCUUUGAACAAAGAUUUAUCGGUAUGAGAUGGCGAUGCGUCCCAUUAGCUUGUUGGCGGGGUAACGGCCCACCAAGGCAUCGAUGGGUAGGGGUUCUGAGAGGAAGGUCCCCCACAUUGGAACUGAGACACGGUCCAAACUCCUACGGGAGGCAGCAGUGAGGAAUAUUGGUCAAUGGGCGGGAGCCUGAACCAGCCAAGUAGCGUGCAGGAAGACGGCCCUCCGGGUUGUAAACUGCUUUUAGUUGGGAAUAAAACGGGGCUCGUGAGCCCCCUUGCAUGUACCAUCAGAAAAAGGACCGGCUAAUUCCGUGCCAGCAGCCGCGGUAAUACGGAAGGUCCGGGCGUUAUCCGGAUUUAUUGGGUUUAAAGGGAGCGCAGGCGGACCUUUAAGUCAGCUGUGAAAUACGGCGGCUCAACCGUCGAACUGCAGUUGAUACUGGAGGUCUUGAGUGCACACAGGGAUGCUGGAAUUCAUGGUGUAGCGGUGAAAUGCUCAGAUACCAUGAAGAACUCCGAUCGCGAAGGCAGGCAUCCAGGGUGCAACUGACGCUGAGGCUCGAAAGUGCGGGUAUCAAACAGGAUUAGAUACCCUGGUAGUCCGCACAGUAAACGAUGAAUACUCGCGGUUUGCGAUACAGUGUAAGCCGCCAAGCGAAAGCGUUAAGUAUUCCACCUGGGGAGUACGCCGGCAACGGUGCAACUCAAAUGAAUUGACGG